RNAcentral lists this ribosomal RNA (1839 nucleotides) under Vibrio vulnificus. Its description in RNAcentral is "partial 23S ribosomal RNA". It matches the Rfam family "Bacterial large subunit ribosomal RNA", at positions 1 to 1874 of the family's 2925-position model. The record is from RNAcentral. Lineage: Bacteria; Pseudomonadati; Pseudomonadota; Gammaproteobacteria; Vibrionales; Vibrionaceae.
GUUGUAUGGUUAAGUGACUAAGCGUACACGGUGGAUGCCUUGGCAGUCAGAGGCGAUGAAGGACGUAGUAACUUGCGAUAAGCGUAGAUGAGGCAGUAACAGCCACUUGAGUCUACGAUUUCCGAAUGGGGAAACCCACUGGCAUAAGCCAGUAUCAUUGAGUGAAUACAUAGCUCAAUGAAGCGAACCGGGAGAACUGAAACAUCUAAGUACCCCGAGGAAAAGAAAUCAACCGAGAUUCCGAAAGUAGCGGCGAGCGAAAUUGGAUUAGCCCUUAAGCUUUACAUGUGUUAGACGAACGGUCUGGAAAGUCCGACGAUACAGGGUGAUAGUCCCGUAGUUGACGAUGCAUGUUCAGUGAAAUCGAGUAGGGCGGGACACGUGUUAUCCUGUCUGAAUAUGGGGGGACCAUCCUCCAAGGCUAAAUACUCCUGACUGACCGAUAGUGAACCAGUACCGUGAGGGAAAGGCGAAAAGAACCCCUGUGAGGGGAGUGAAAUAGAACCUGAAACCGUGUACGUACAAGCAGUAGGAGCACCUUCGUGGUGUGACUGCGUACCUUUUGUAUAAUGGGUCAGCGACUUAUAUUCAGUGGCAAGGUUAACCAUCUAGGGGAGCCGUAGGGAAACCGAGUCUUAACUGGGCGCCAUAGUCUCUGGAUAUAGACCCGAAACCGAGUGAUCUAGCCAUGGGCAGGUUGAAGGUUGAGUAACAUCAACUGGAGGACCGAACCGACUAAUGUUGAAAAAUUAGCGGAUGACUUGUGGCUAGGGGUGAAAGGCCAAUCAAACUCGGAGAUAGCUGGUUCUCCCCGAAAGCUAUUUAGGUAGCGCCUCGGACGAAUACUACUGGGGGUAGAGCACUGUUAAGGCUAGGGGGUCAUCCCGACUUACCAACCCUUUGCAAACUCCGAAUACCAGUAAGUACUAUCCGGGAGACACACGGCGGGUGCUAACGUCCGUCGUGGAGAGGGAAACAACCCAGACCGCCAGCUAAGGUCCCAAAUUACAGCUAAGUGGGAAACGAUGUGGGAAGGCUUAGACAGCUAGGAUGUUGGCUUAGAAGCAGCCAUCAUUUAAAGAAAGCGUAAUAGCUCACUAGUCGAGUCGGCCUGCGCGGAAGAUGUAACGGGGCUAAGUUGUAAACCGAAGCUGCGGCAAUGUUCUAUGAACAUUGGGUAGGGGAGCGUUCUGUAAGCCGUUGAAGGUGUGUUGUAAAGCAUGCUGGAGGUAUCAGAAGUGCGAAUGCUGACAUGAGUAACGACAAGGGGGGUGAAAAACCUCCCCGCCGGAAGACCAAGGGUUCCUGUCCAACGUUAAUCGGGGCAGGGUAAGUCGACCCCUAAGGCGAGGCUGAAAAGCGUAGUCGAUGGGAAACGGGUUAAUAUUCCCGUACUUCUUACAAUUGCGAUGGGGGGACGGAGAAGGCUAGGUGGGCCUGGCGACGGUUGUCCAGGUUCAAGUGCGUAGGCUGAGUGUUUAGGUAAAUCCGGAUACUCUUAAGGCUGAGACACGACGUCGAGCUACUACGGUAGUGAAGUCAUUGAUGCCAUGCUUCCAGGAAAAGCCUCUAAGCUUCAGAUUGUAAGGAAUCGUACCCCAAACCGACACAGGUGGUCGGGUAGAGAAUACCAAGGCGCUUGAGAGAACUCGGGUGAAGGAACUAGGCAAAAUGGUACCGUAACUUCGGGAGAAGGUACGCUCUUGAUGGUGAAGUCCCUUGCGGAUGGAGCUGACGAGAGUCGCAGAUACCAGGUGGCUGCAACUGUUUAUUAAAAACACAGCACUGUGCAAAAUCGUAAGAUGACGUAUACGGUGUGACGCCUGCCCGGUGCCGGAA